AAUAUUUAAUUUAUAAAAAUCUUCUCAACACCAUAAACUGCUGAAGGUUUUAGCGGUUUUAAAAAGCUUCAAAAACCCUCAAAAACCUUACCUUCCCCAUAAAACCUCCCUCCCAAACAAAUCUAUAUGUUUUAAUUACAUUAGGAAACCUUACCCUACCUAUAAAACCUUGCUCCCAAACGAAGUGAAACAGGAUAGCUACAUCUGGAACCACCCAACAAAUGCAAAUCUAGAAGAAAACUCAGCAUAGCAUUGGAAAGGAGGAUUGAAGAAAAGAAAACACAGCAUCAAAUCGUUUAAAAAAAAAUUCAGAAUUUCACAAACUUAUUGAGCAAACAAACGCACAGAGGAUUCAAUAAAAACCAAUUAAAGAGAAACAUAUAGCAAUAGAGAUCAAACAAAAGUAUGGGAAUAUCAGGAUUACCCUUAUCUCCUUGAAGCAAAGUGU
This 448-nucleotide unclassified non-coding RNA is filed under the name Hevea brasiliensis (rubber tree). Lineage: Eukaryota; Viridiplantae; Streptophyta; Magnoliopsida; Malpighiales; Euphorbiaceae. The record is from RNAcentral.